Molecule: ribosomal RNA, 864 nt
Filed under: uncultured archaeon
Lineage: Archaea
Description: bacterial SSU rRNA
Rfam family: Archaeal small subunit ribosomal RNA
Source: RNAcentral
UGAUACUAAGCCAUGCGAGUCAUUGUAGCAAUACAAGGCAUACGGCUCAGUAACGCGUAGUCAACCUAACCUAUGGAUGGGAAUAACCUCGGGAAACUGAGAAUAAUGCCCGAUAGAACAUUAUGCCUGGAAUGGUUUAUGUUCCAAAUGAUUUAUCGCCGUAGGAUGGGACUGCGGCCUAUCAGUUUGUUGGUGAGGUAAUGGCCCACCAAGACUAUUACAGGUACGGGCUCUGAGAGGAGUAGCCCGGAGAUGGGUACUGAGACACGGACCCAGGCCCUAUGGGGCGCAGCAGGCGAGAAAACUUUGCAAUGUGCGAAAGCACGACAAGGUUAAUCCGAGUGGUUUCUGCUAAAGGAACCUUUUGUCAGUCCUAGAAACACUGAUGAAUAAGGGGUGGGCAAGUUCUGGUGUCAGCCGCCGCGGUAAAACCAGCACCUCAAGUGGUCAGGAUGAUUAUUGGGCCUAAAGCAUCCGUAGCCGGCUCUGUAAGUUUUCGGUUAAAUCUGUACGCUCAACGUACAGGCUGCCGGGAAUACUGCAAAGCUAGGGAGUGGGAGAGGUAGACGGUACUCGGUAGGAAGGGGUAAAAUCCUUUGAUCUAUUGAUGACCACCUGUGGCGAAGGCGGUCUACCAGAACACGUCCGACGGUGAGGGAUGAAAGCUGGGGGAGCAAACCGGAUUAGAUACCCGGGUAGUCCCAGCUGUAAACCAUGCAAACUCAGUGAUGCAUUGGCUUGUGGCCAAUGCAGUGCUGCAGGGAAGCCGUUAAGUUUGCCGCCUGGGAAGUACGUACGCAAGUAUGAAACUUAAAGGAAUUGGCGGGGGAGCACCACAAGGGGUGAAGCCUGCGGUUCAAUUGG